Molecule: ribosomal RNA, 721 nt
Filed under: Streptomyces thermocarboxydus
Lineage: Bacteria; Bacillati; Actinomycetota; Actinomycetes; Kitasatosporales; Streptomycetaceae
Description: bacterial SSU rRNA
Source: RNAcentral
UCUSUCAGGACGAACGCUGGCGGCGUGCUUAACACAUGCAAGUCGAACGAUGAAGCCUUCGGGGUGGAUUAGUGGCGAACGGGUGAGUAACACGUGGGCAAUCUGCCCUGCACUCUGGGACAAGCCCUGGAAACGGGGUCUAAUACCGGAUACUGAUCGCCUUGGGCAUCCUUGGUGAUCGAAAGCUCCGGCGGUGCAGGAUGAGCCCGCGGCCUAUCAGCUUGUUGGUGAGGUAAUGGCUCACCAAGGCGACGACGGGUAGCCGGCCUGAGAGGGCGACCGGCCACACUGGGACUGAGACACGGCCCAGACUCCUACGGGAGGCAGCAGUGGGGAAUAUUGCACAAUGGGCGAAAGCCUGAUGCAGCGACGCCGCGUGAGGGAUGACGGCCUUCGGGUUGUAAACCUCUUUCAGCAGGGAAGAAGCGAAAGUGACGGUACCUGCAGAAGAAGCGCCGGCUAACUACGUGCCAGCAGCCGCGGUAAUACGUAGGGCGCGAGCGUUGUCCGGAAUUAUUGGGCGUAAAGAGCUCGUAGGCGGCUUGUCGCGUCGGUUGUGAAAGCCCGGGGCUUAACCCCGGGUCUGCAGUCGAUACGGGCAGGCUAGAGUUCGGUAGGGGAGAUCGGAAUUCCUGGUGUAGCGGUGAAAUGCGCAGAUAUCAGGAGGAACACCGGUGGCGAAGGCGGAUCUCUGGGCCGAUACUGACGCUGAGGAGCGAAA